CUAGCCCCGCCCUGCUCUGCCGACCAAUCCCGAGCGUCCUCGGCUUCCGGAGGCGUUCCCGCCGGCCGAGCGGUUAGGGCCGGCCGCUCUGUUGUUCGAUGGUUGCUAGGAGACUUCCUCCGGGGCCUGUCAAUCACGUUUCCGUAAACAGAACGUGCUGCAGAGCUUGGGAGUAACGCGAGGCGUGGGAAUUGAAAGGGACUCGGAACUUCUCCAAAAACUGGUCACCUCAGCUGGCGAUGGCAGACAGGGAGAGCGAGAGGCCAGAUGGGGACCAGGAGGAACAGAACGAGCUCCUCAGCUCUGAGCUGGACGAAGAGCCCAGCAGCUCGAGCUCGGGCCCCGCGCGGCUUCCCAGAGACCACUGCGACUUCCUGCUGGACGCCAUCGACGCCCAGCUCAGCCAGAUGCAGAGUGCCAGCUUCAGGAAGCAGGGCCAUGCUGGGAACUCACCUUGUAAAAGCACUGAAGAAACAUCCAGAGCAGCGACUUUCAGCCGAAGUCAGUCUCUGAGCAAGGAUGCAGGACUGGGCAGUACCAUUCAACCUGGCGACGCCCCCCUUUCAGAUCCACACAUGGUAUGCCCCAUGUUUCAAGACCCCUCCUCAGAGCCCAAAGGGAGGCGCCCAGACUCUGCCGAGGAGGAGAGAGAGGAGAGAGAAACUCGGAGAACGCAGGGAGGGGACUCCAGGAAGGAACAGUACAGGUGGAGGCUCGAGCAGCUCCUAGGAAGCCAAGGAGCAGGAGAGCAAGGGUACGAGAGCGACGUGAAUAUGGCGGAGAGUGUCUGCACGGAAGACUUUGCUGCGAAAUUCCGGGAAGGCAUGGUGGAUCCCCAGGUCGACCCAAACGGAGAGCUGGGAAGCGAUACUUCAGAGUGUCUCCCUGAGGAGCCCUUUGCUCCGAGGCGUCUUCGAGAGGGCCCCACCGAGCACCUGCGGAGCGGCACAGAGGCUGAUGAUGAACAGAUGGUGCUGGGGACACCGAGGGGGCGGGAUAACGCCCAGCAGAUCACGCAAGACUCUGAACGCGGCCUCACCUCGGAGGGGCUCGUCAAGGAGAGGUGUGGUUUGGGCCGGAGUCGCCGAGACAGUGAGGAAUCUCUCGGAGGUCGGAUCUCCAGGACGAGUCAGAGUAAUACUUCGGGCAAGGUCAGGAACUUAAGGAUUUCCACCCCUGAGCCAGUAUCCAUGAGCGAAAAUAGGAUGUCCGUCAUUGCUUUACAGAAUGGACAUGUCCAAUCUCUUCCUUGUCUGCCAGCAGCACUUGAUAAGGAGACAGGUCGGGAAAAGACUGGAUUCUCUCCAACACGGAUUUCGGAGGAUCUAUCACUGAGGAUGCCGUCAGUGAGCAGCCUUGAAAACCACCUCCCUGCCCAGCCCGUUCCUGCUGAUGGAAUACCAUCCUCUCUUGCUUUAGAUUCUCAUUUAUCUGUUGGUAAAGAUGAUGAACGACAAGCUCCAGGUCUGUCAGCCCUGGGCUCAAAUCGUUCCCCAGGAGGGAGACUCAUUGCCAUCGAUCCAGGGGUGUCCACACCUCCUUUUGGAGAACUCGGGGAGACGGUAAAGGGGUCCCUGGUGCAAGACCAAAGACACAUGGCGCCUUAUCAGGGUUGUGGAGCUCAGAAAGCUCACCAGCGGUCAAUCAGGAGAUCAGACAGCUGGCCCCCCACAUCGGGAUCCUCCCCUGGGACUGAAGUUAAUGAAGCUUCGGAUACUGGCAGAUCUAUCUUACUUCCUAACGCGAGCGAGCACCCCGACACAGCUGCCGACUCGCAGCGCUGGGGUCAGAGAGCGCCAGUGGCCUCCCUCCUUCCUCCAGCAAUGUCUGUGUCUUAUGAGACGGGUCACAUGGGAACUGGGAGUGCAAUAAGCCAAAACGAAGCUGCUGAAGAACAGUAUGGUUUGAGUCAAACCCCUAACAGCGGUGUGGACAGCACUGUGUCUCCUAGCGUUGCUGGAUUUCACAACACUUCUCGGAAAACUCUGGGAUCUCAAUGCAGCCUGCACACUGUUGGGACUGAAGAAUACGUGGGCACGUUUCCGACCCUGCCUGUCAAACAUGUGGCCGGUGUUCCUGUGAAGAAUUUUGAUGAAGUGACCAUUGACAGCGACCUGGAUUCAGUGAAUACAGCUCGAGUGCGCAAACACGUUCAAAGUGCGCUCCACAACAGCAAAGGUGAGGCCUGGAUUUGAUAGCACCCUCUCCAGCUCACCUCCACCUGAGCCAGCAGAAAGAAUGAUUAGGAGAGGGAAAAGUCUGAUGCUUCUGCAGUUUCCUCCCACAGUCCAAGGGGGAAAAUUGGCCCUGCUGUGAGUGUGUGGUGCCUGUGGAAACCACCUCGGCUCUCUUCACUGCUCAACCACGGAAG
Long non-coding RNA from Lepisosteus oculatus (spotted gar), 2371 nucleotides. The record is from Ensembl. Lineage: Eukaryota; Metazoa; Chordata; Actinopteri; Semionotiformes; Lepisosteidae.